This 253-nucleotide ribosomal RNA is filed under the name uncultured bacterium. RNAcentral's name for it is "partial 16S ribosomal RNA". It matches the Rfam family "Bacterial small subunit ribosomal RNA", at positions 524 to 776 of the family's 1533-position model. The record is from RNAcentral.
GACGUAGGGCGCGAGCGUUGUCCGGAAUCAUUGGGCGUAAAGCGCGUGUAGGCGGUCCGGUAAGUCCGCUGUGAAAGUCGGGGGCUCAACCCUCGGAUGCCGGUGGAUACUGUCGGGCUUGAGUACGGAAGAGGCGAGUGGAAUUCCUGGUGUAGCGGUGAAAUGCGCAGAUAUCAGGAGGAACACCAAUUGCGAAGGCAGCUCGCUGGGACGUUACUGACGCUGAGACGCGAAAGCGUGGGGAGCAAACAGG